This 486-nucleotide ribosomal RNA is filed under the name uncultured bacterium. Its description in RNAcentral is "partial 16S ribosomal RNA". It matches the Rfam family "Bacterial small subunit ribosomal RNA", at positions 28 to 507 of the family's 1533-position model. The record is from RNAcentral.
GAUGAACGCUCGCGAUAGGCUUAACACAUGCAAGUCGAGGGGCAGCACAAGGUAGCUUGCUAUCUGGGUGGCGACCGGCGCACGGGUGCGUAACGCGUAUGCAACUUGCCCUAUACAGGAGGAUAACCCGUCGAAAGACGGACUAAUACUGCGUAUGCUCACAACUUGGCAUCAAGUGGUGAGGAAAGCAAUUCGGUAUAGGAUAGGCAUGCGUCCCAUUAGCUUGUUGGUGAGGUAACGGCUCACCAAGGCAACGAUGGGUAGGGGAACUGAGAGGUUUAUCCCCCACACUGGUACUGAGACACGGACCCGACUCCUACGGGAGGAGCAGUGAGGAAUAUAGGUGAAGGGGCGCGAGCCUGAACCAGCCAAGUCGCGUGAAGGAUGACUGUCUUAGGGAUUGUAAACUUCUUUUAUACGGGAAUAACAAGAGUCACGGGUGACUCCCUGCAUGUACCGGAUGAAUAAGCAUCGGCUAACUCCGUG